This 845-nucleotide ribosomal RNA is filed under the name Staphylococcus aureus. RNAcentral describes it as "bacterial SSU rRNA". It matches the Rfam family "Bacterial small subunit ribosomal RNA", at positions 8 to 835 of the family's 1533-position model. RNAcentral also lists the same sequence under 1 other name. Lineage: Bacteria; Bacillati; Bacillota; Bacilli; Caryophanales; Staphylococcaceae. The record is from RNAcentral.
AGAGUUUGAUCCUGGCUCAGGAUGAACGCUGGCGGCGUGCCUAAUACAUGCAAGUCGAGCGAACGGACGAGAAGCUUGCUUCUCUGAUGUUAGCGGCGGACGGGUGAGUAACACGUGGAUAACCUACCUAUAAGACUGGGAUAACUUCGGGAAACCGGAGCUAAUACCGGAUAAUAUUUUGAACCGCAUGGUUCAAAAGUGAAAGACGGUCUUGCUGUCACUUAUAGAUGGAUCCGCGCUGCAUUAGCUAGUUGGUAAGGUAACGGCUUACCAAGGCAACGAUGCAUAGCCGACCUGAGAGGGUGAUCGGCCACACUGGAACUGAGACACGGUCCAGACUCCUACGGGAGGCAGCAGUAGGGAAUCUUCCGCAAUGGGCGAAAGCCUGACGGAGCAACGCCGCGUGAGUGAUGAAGGUCUUCGGAUCGUAAAACUCUGUUAUUAGGGAAGAACAUAUGUGUAAGUAACUGUGCACAUCUUGACGGUACCUAAUCAGAAAGCCACGGCUAACUACGUGCCAGCAGCCGCGGUAAUACGUAGGUGGCAAGCGUUAUCCGGAAUUAUUGGGCGUAAAGCGCGCGUAGGCGGUUUUUUAAGUCUGAUGUGAAAGCCCACGGCUCAACCGUGGAGGGUCAUUGGAAACUGGAAAACUUGAGUGCAGAAGAGGAAAGUGGAAUUCCAUGUGUAGCGGUGAAAUGCGCAGAGAUAUGGAGGAACACCAGUGGCGAAGGCGACUUUCUGGUCUGUAACUGACGCUGAUGUGCGAAAGCGUGGGGAUCAAACAGGAUUAGAUACCCUGGUAGUCCACGCCGUAAACGAUGAGUGCUAAGUGUUAGGGGGUUUCC